This 567-nucleotide ribosomal RNA is filed under the name uncultured bacterium. RNAcentral describes it as "partial 16S ribosomal RNA". It matches the Rfam family "Bacterial small subunit ribosomal RNA", at positions 355 to 912 of the family's 1533-position model. The record is from RNAcentral.
UGGGGAAUAUUGCACAAUGGGCGCAAGCCUGAUGCAGCCAUGCCGCGUGUGUGAAGAAGGCCUUCGGGUUGUAAAGCACUUUCAGCGAGGAGGAAGGUGGUGAGCUUAAUACGCUCAUCAAUUGACGUUACUCGCAGAAGAAGCACCGGCUAACUCCGUGCCAGCAGCCGCGGUAAUACGGAGGGUGCAAGCGUUAAUCGGAAUUACUGGGCGUAAAGCGCACGCAGGCGGUUUGUUAAGUCAGAUGUGAAAUCCCCGGGCUCAACCUGGGAACUGCAUUUGAAACUGGCAAGCUAGAGUCUCGUAGAGGGGGGUAGAAUUCCAGGUGUAGCGGUGAAAUGCGUAGAGAUCUGGAGGAAUACCGGUGGCGAAGGCGGCCCCCUGGACGAAGACUGACGCUCAGGUGCGAAAGCGUGGGGCAGCAAACAGGAUUAGAUACCCUGGUAGUCCACGCUGUAAACGAUGUCGAUUUUGGAGGUUGUGCCCUUGAGGUGUGGCUUCCGGAGCUAACGCGUUAAAUCGACCGCCUGGGGAGUACGGCCGCAAGGUUAAAACUUAAAUGAAUUG